This 253-nucleotide ribosomal RNA is filed under the name uncultured bacterium. RNAcentral describes it as "partial 16S ribosomal RNA". It matches the Rfam family "Bacterial small subunit ribosomal RNA", at positions 524 to 776 of the family's 1533-position model. The record is from RNAcentral.
UACGUAGGGGGCAAGCGUUGUUCGGAAUCACUGGGCGUAAAGGGCGUGUAGGCGGUCUGCUAAGUCUGAUGUGAAAUCCCCUCGCUCAACGAGGGAACUGCGUCGGAUACUGGCAGACUCGAGUACCGGAGAGGAAAGUGGAAUUCCCGGUGUAGCGGUGAAAUGCGUAGAGAUCGGGAGGAACACCGGUGGCGAAGGCGGCCUUCUGGACGGAUACUGACGCUGAGACGCGAAAGCGUGGGGAGCAAACAGG